Molecule: ribosomal RNA, 119 nt
Filed under: Pteropus alecto (black flying fox)
Lineage: Eukaryota; Metazoa; Chordata; Mammalia; Chiroptera; Pteropodidae
Source: RNAcentral
CCUUGCUGCAUAUUUAUAUUUAUAAAAGAAGAUUCCAUCUGAUCUUGGAAGCUAAGUAGAGUCAGGCCUGGUUAGUGCUUGAAUGGGAGACCACCUAGGAAGAUCAGGUGCUGUAGAUG